UACGUAGGGUGCGAGCGUUGUCCGGAAUUACUGGGCGUAAAGAGCUCGUAGGUGGUUUGUCGCGUUGUUCGUGAAAACUCACAACUCAAUUGUGGGCGUGCGGGCGAUACGGGCAGACUGGAGUACUGCAGGGGGAGACUGGAAUUCCUGGUGUAGCGGUGGAAUGCGCAGAUAUCAGGAGGAACACCGGUGGCGAAGGCGGGUCUCUGGGCAGUAACUGACGCUGAGACGCGAAAGCGUGGGGAGCAAACAGG
RNAcentral lists this ribosomal RNA (254 nucleotides) under uncultured bacterium. RNAcentral's name for it is "partial 16S ribosomal RNA". It matches the Rfam family "Bacterial small subunit ribosomal RNA", at positions 524 to 776 of the family's 1533-position model. The record is from RNAcentral.